AGCGAACGCUGGCGGCAGGCCUAACACAUGCAAGUCGAACGAACUCUUCGGAGUUAGUGGCGGACGGGUGAGUAACACGUGGGAACGUGCCUUUAGGUUCGGAAUAACUCAGGGAAACUUGUGCUAAUACCGAAUGUGCCCUUCGGGGGAAAGAUUUAUCGCCUUUAGAGCGGCCCGCGUCUGAUUAGCUAGUAGGUGAGGUAAAGGCUCACCAAGGCGACGAUCAGUAGCUGGUCUGAGAGGAUGAUCAGCCACAUUGGGACUGAGACACGGCCCAAACUCCUACGGGAGGCAGCAGUGGGGAAUCUUGCGCAAUGGGCGAAAGCCUGACGCAGCCAUGCCGCGUGAAUGAUGAAGGUCUUAGGAUUGUAAAAUUCUUUCACCGGGGACGAUAAUGACGGUACCCGGAGAAGAAGCCCCGGCUAACUUCGUG
Molecule: ribosomal RNA, 433 nt
Filed under: uncultured bacterium
Lineage: Bacteria
Description: partial 16S ribosomal RNA
Rfam family: Bacterial small subunit ribosomal RNA
Source: RNAcentral